AGAGUUUGAUCCUGGCUCAGAACGAACGCUGGCGGCGUGCCUAACACAUGCAAGUCGAGCGCGAAGGGGGCUUCGGCCCCUGGAGAGCGGCAGACGGGUGAGUAACACGUGGGUAACCUGUCCUUGGGUGGGGGAUAACUACUCGAAAGGGUGGCUAAUACCGCAUAAGACCACGGCCUUGCGGGGCUGCGGUCAAAGGUGCAAAUCGCCUGAGGAGGGGCCCGCGGCCGAUUAGCUAGUUGGCGGGGUAAUGGCUCACCAGGGCGACGAUCGGUAGCUGGUCUGAGAGGAUGAUCAGCCACACUGGUACUGAGACACGGACCAGACUCCUACGGGAGGCAGCAGUGGGGAAUAUUGCGCAAUGGGCGAAAGCCUGACGCAGCAACGCCGCGUGGGUGAUGAAGGCCUUCGGGUCGUAAAGCCCUGUCAGAUGGGACGAACCACCCCGCAAGGGGCCUGACGGUACCAUCGAAGGAAGCACCGGCUAACUCCGUGCCAGCAGCCGCGGUAAUACGGAGGGUGCAAGCGUUGUUCGGAAUCACUGGGCGUAAAGGGCGCGUAGGCGGCUUCAAUAGUCCGAUGUGAAAGCCCGGGGCUCAACCCCGGAAGUGCAUUGGAAACUGUGAGGCUUGAGUUCGGGAGAGGAAGGCAGAAUUCCCGGUGUAGGGUUGAAAUCCGUAGAUAUCGGGAGGAAAACCGGUGGCGAAGGCGGCCUUCUGGAACGAAACUGACGCUGAGGCGCGAAAGCGUGGGGAGCAAACAGGAUUAGAGACCCUGGUAGUCCACGCUGUAAACGAUGGAUGCUGGGUGUGGGUGACAAUACGGUCAUCCGUGCCGAAGCUAACGCAUUAAGCAUCCCGCCUGGGGAGUACGGUCGCAAGACUAAAACUCAAAGGAAUUGACGGGGGCCUGCACAAGCGGUGGAGUAUGUGGUUUAAUUCGACACAACGCGCAGAACCUUACCUGGGUUUGACAUGUCGCGACAGCCUUGGAAACAGGGUUUCCCCUUCGGGGGCGCGAACACAGGUGCUGCAUGGCUGUCGUCAGCUCGUGUCGUGAGAUGUUGGGUUAAGUCCCGCAACGAGCGCAACCCCUGUCCCAUGUUGCCAUCGGGUAAAGCCGGGCACUCUUGGGAGACCGCCGGUGUCAAACCGGAGGAAGGUGGGGAUGACGUCAAGUCUUCAUGGCCCUUAUGCCCAGGGCUACACACGUACUACAAUGGCCGGUACAAAGAGCUGCGAACCCGCGAGGGGGAGCCAACCUCAAAAAGCCGGUCUCAGUUCGGAUUGGAGUCUGCAACUCGACUCCAUGAAGGCGGAAUCGCUAGUAAUCGCGGAUCAGCACGCCGCGGUGAAUCCGUUCCCGGGCCUUGUACACACCGCCCGUCACACCAUGAGAGUCGCUUGUACCAGAAGUGCGUGGGCCAACCCGCAAGGGAGGCAGCGUACCAAGGUAUGGGUGGUGAUUGGGGUGAAGUCGUAACAAGGUA
RNAcentral lists this ribosomal RNA (1489 nucleotides) under metagenome. RNAcentral describes it as "bacterial SSU rRNA". It matches the Rfam family "Bacterial small subunit ribosomal RNA". The record is from RNAcentral.